UUACCUGGUUGAUCCUGCCAGUAGUCAUAUGCUUGUCUCAAAGAUUAAGCCAUGCAUGUGUAAGUACACGCCAAACUAAGGCGAAACCGCGAAUGGCUCAUUAAAUCAGUUGUGGUUCCUUAGAUCAUACCACAUCCUACUUGGAUAACUGUGGUAAUUCUAGAGCUAAUACAUGCCGAGAGUACCUCGAGCCCGCGAGGGCGAGGGAGCAUUUAUUAGACCAAAACCAAUGGGUCGUGGCUCGCCACUUCCCUUUCCCUUGGUGACUCUGAAUAACUUUGUGCUGAUCCGCAUGGCCUUGUGCCGGCGACAUAUCUUUCAAGUGUCUGCCUUAUCAACUUUCGACGGUAGAUUACAAGCCUACCGUGGUUAUAACAGGUGACGGGGAAUCAGGGUUCGAUUCCGGAGAGGGAGCCUGAGAAACGGCUGCCACAUCUAAGGAAGGCAGCAGGCGCGCAAAUUACCCACUCCCGGCACGGGGAGGUAGUGACGAAAAAUAACGAUAUGGGACUCGUCCGAGGCCUCAUAAUUGGAAUGAGUACAAUCUAAAUCCCUUAACGAGGAUCUAUUGGAGGGCAAGUCUGGUGCCAGCAGCCGCGGUAAUUCCAGCUCCAAUAGCGUAUAUUAAAGUUGUUGCGGUUAAAAAGCUCGUAGUUGAAUCUCAGUUCUGGGCGCGCACGGGGUCCGCCAACACACUGGUGGACUGCUGACGUGCCUGGAGCAAAACCGUCCGGCUUGUCCCACGGUGCUCUUAACCGAGUGUUGUGGGUGGCCGACAUUUUUACUUUGAGAAAACCCAGAGUGCUUAAAGCAGGCGCUAGACGCCCGAAUGACUGUGCAUGGAAUAAUGGAAAAGGAUCUCGCUUCUGUCUUUGUUGGUUCUUCGGAAGGCGAGAUAAUGAUUAAUAGGGACAGACGGGGGCAUUCGUAUUGCGACGUUAGAGGUGAAAUUCUUGGAUCGUCGCACGACGAACUACUGCGAAAGCAUUUGCCAAGAAUGUUUUCGUUAAUCAAGAACGAAAGAUAAGAGGUUCGAAGGCGAUCAGAUACCGCCCUAGUUCUAACCAUAAACGAUGCCAACUGGCGAUCCGCCCCAGUUAAAUGUACAGACUGGGCGGGCAGCCUCCGGGAAACCAAAGUCUUUGGGUUCCGGGGGAAGUAUGGUUGCAAAGCUGAAACUUAAAGUCAUUGACGGAAGGGCACCACCAGGAGUGGAGCCUGCGGCUUAAUUUGACUCAACACUGGAAACCUCACCAGGCCCGGACACCAAAAGGAUUGACAGAUUGAGAGCUCUUUCUUGAUUUGGUGGGUGGUGGUGCAUGGCCGUUCUUAGUUGGUGGAGCGAUUUGUCUGGUUAAUUCCGAUAACGAACGAGACUCUAGCCUGCUAACUAGCCGGUGGAUCAUUUUGUUUUAUGCGGCGAGCCGGUUCUUUUCCUUCUGGAUUGGUCUGGCGAGUUGCGUUCACCGUGUCUUCUUAGAGGGACCGGCUGCAUUCAGCAGCACGAGACGGAGCAAUAACAGGUCUGUGAUGCCCUUAGAUGUCCUGGGCCGCACGCGCGCUACACUGGAGGAAUCAGCGUGCACUCCCUGCCCGAGAGGGUCGGGUAACCCGCUGAAAUUCCUUCGUGAUUGGGAUCGGGGUUUGCAACUAUCCCCCGUGAACGAGGAAUUCCCAGUAAGCGCGAGUCAUCAGCUCGCGUUGAUUACGUCCCUGCCCUUUGUACACACCGCCCGUCGCUACUACCGAUUGAAUGAUUUAGUGAGGCCUUUGGACUGGC
RNAcentral lists this ribosomal RNA (1780 nucleotides) under Vargula tsujii. Its description in RNAcentral is "SSU rRNA". It matches the Rfam family "Eukaryotic small subunit ribosomal RNA". The record is from RNAcentral. Lineage: Eukaryota; Metazoa; Arthropoda; Ostracoda; Myodocopida; Cypridinidae.